This 495-nucleotide ribosomal RNA is filed under the name uncultured bacterium. RNAcentral's name for it is "partial 16S ribosomal RNA". It matches the Rfam family "Bacterial small subunit ribosomal RNA", at positions 28 to 507 of the family's 1533-position model. The record is from RNAcentral.
GACGAACGCUGGCGGCGUGCCUAAUACAUGCAAGUAGAACGCUGAAGGCGGAGCUUGCUUCUCUGGAUGAGUUGCGAACGGGUGAGUAACGCGUAGGUAACCUGCCUGGUAGCGGGGGAUAACUUUUGGAAACGAUGGCUAAUACCGCAUAAUAGUUGAUGUUGCAUGAUAUUUGCUUGAAAGGUGCAAUUGCUGCACUAGCAGAUGCCCCUGCGUUGUAUUAGCUAGUUGUUGGGGUAACGGCUCACCAAGGCGACGAUACAUAGCCGACCUGAGAGGGUGAGCGGCCACACUGGGACGGGGACACGGCCCAGACUCCUAGGGGAGGGAGCAGUAGGGAAUCUUCGGCAAUGGACGGAAGUCUGACCGAGCAACGCCGCGUGAGUGAAGAAGGUUUUCGGAUCGUAAAGCUCUGUUGUAAGAGAAGAACGAGUGUGAGAGUGGAAAGUUCAGACUGUGACGGUAUCUUACCAGAAAGCGACGGCUAACUACGUG